Non-coding RNA from Burkholderia cenocepacia J2315, 117 nucleotides. The record is from Rfam. NCBI's taxonomy places the organism in Bacteria, Pseudomonadati, Pseudomonadota, Betaproteobacteria, Burkholderiales, Burkholderiaceae.
UUGCUAACGCGGGGGUCCUGCAAUGCGUUCGGUCAAACAACCGGCAUUGCGGGUGAGAAAUACCCUUUGAACCUGAUCUGGAUAAUGCCAGCGCAGGGAAGCGUACGGAUUUCGCCG